AGCAGCCGCGGUAAUUCCAGCUCCGAUAGCGUAUAUUAAAGUUGCUGCAGUUAAAAAGCUCGGAGUUGAAUUUCGGGACUAAUAUGUCGGUCGUGCCUCGGUACGUACUGGUAUUUUUGGUUUCUCCCUUCUGACGAACCUUGAUGUCAUUAAUUUGGUGUCUUGGGAAAUCAGGACUGUUACUUUGAAAAAAUUAGAGUGUUUAAAGCAGGCUCACGCUUGAAUACAUUAGCAUGGAAUAAUGAAAUAGGACGUUUGAUUCUAUUUUGUUGGUUUCUAGGAUCGACGUAAUGAUUAAUAGGGAUAGUUGGGGGCAUUAGUAUUCAAUUGUCAGAGGUGAAAUUCUUGGAUUUAUUGAAGACUAACUACUGCGAAAGCAUUUGCCAAGGAUGUUUUCAUUAAUCAAGAACGAAAGUUAGGGGAUCGAAGACGAUCAGAUACCGUCGUAGUCUUAACCAUAAACUAUGCCGACUAGGGAUCGGAUGAUGUUAAUUUUUUAAUGACUCA
Molecule: ribosomal RNA, 507 nt
Filed under: uncultured Glomus
Lineage: Eukaryota; Fungi; Glomeromycota; Glomeromycetes; Glomerales; Glomeraceae
Description: SSU rRNA
Rfam family: Eukaryotic small subunit ribosomal RNA
Source: RNAcentral